Ochlerotatus camptorhynchus is the source of this 664-nucleotide long non-coding RNA. RefSeq lists it as uncharacterized. The transcript is spliced from 3 exons. The record is from RefSeq and is a predicted model, not a curated record. NCBI's taxonomy places the organism in Eukaryota, Metazoa, Arthropoda, Insecta, Diptera, Culicidae.
AUCCCUUUUUAGUUAUACCAAUUGUAAGCUUUCUAUUGUACUUUUAUAGCCACCUAUCGGAAUAAAUAAAAACUUGCGCGAACAUGUAUAAUUUAAGGCGAAUUAACUGGAUUCAAAAAUAAAUUAAACCUUCGGUAAGUUGCGGAAAUUUCCACAAAUUACUUUCUACCUGCUCUUUUGUGUGGAAAGCCGAGUCAGUGGAAAGUAUUGUUCCAAAUUAGUCCGCCAGAGCUGACCAAUAAAAAAAUAAUCUCUAUAGAAAACGUACAUUAUAAGGUGGAAAUUGCGUCGUAGCAAAAAGGUUCAACCAAGCUAUUUGCGCGUCGCUCGAUUUAUUCUGGUGGAGUCAGUUAUCAAGUAAAGAUCAAGUUUGGAAGUGAUCCUUAAAUUUUUUGAAAGUGAUUCUAGUUAUAGCUUAAAACUAAAUUCGAAAGUUCGGAUAGAUUAUACAAAAAUUGAAUUUAACAUAAAGUGAAUUGAGUGUAUUUUGAAUAUUCAGGCGUCAUUAAGCCCAUCCAACGUGGGCUGCUAGUCUGGACUGGAUUGGUUCGUCCAGAUUGGAUUGUUGUUGUCAGGCCUGGAUUCGGUUUUUUGGACUGCAUUAGCCGAAGGUUGUUCCGGCUACGAAGUCUAGCACGUGUGAUUGUGGGGUUGGAAAACUCCC